AUUAAGGGCCAUGCCUAGUACGGCGAGUGAGCGGCAACAGCUCAAAUUUGAAAUCUGGCUCUUUCAGAGUCCGAGUUGUAAUUUGCAGAGGGCGCUUUGGCUUUGGCAGCGGUCCAAGUUCCUUGGAACAGGACGUCACAGAGGGUGAGAAUCCCGUACGUGGUCGCUAGCUAUUGCCGUGUAAAGCCCCUUCGACGAGUCGAGUUGUUUGGGAAUGCAGCUCUAAAUGGGAGGUAAAUUUCUUCUAAAGCUAAAUACUGGCCAGAGACCGAUAGCGCACAAGUAGAGUGAUCGAAAGAUGAAAAGCACUUUGGAAAGAGAGUCAAACAGCACGUGAAAUUGUUGAAAGGGAAGCGCUUGCAGCCAGACUUGCUUGCAGUUGCUCAUCCGGGCUUUUGCCCGGUGCACUCUUCUGCAGGCAGGCCAGCAUCAGUUUGGGCGGUGGGAUAAAGGUCUCUGACACGUUCCUUCCUUCGGGUUGGCCAUAUAGGGGAGACGUCAUACCACCAGCCUGGACUGAGGUCCGCGCAUCUGCUAGGAUGCUGGCGUAAUGGCUGUAAGCGGCCCGUCUUGAACACCCGGACCAAAACAGCUUU
RNAcentral lists this ribosomal RNA (596 nucleotides) under Curvularia australiensis. RNAcentral describes it as "LSU rRNA". It matches the Rfam family "Eukaryotic large subunit ribosomal RNA", at positions 64 to 678 of the family's 3401-position model. The record is from RNAcentral. Lineage: Eukaryota; Fungi; Ascomycota; Dothideomycetes; Pleosporales; Pleosporaceae.